AGGAUGAACGCUAGCUACAGGCUUAACACAUGCAAGUCGAGGGGCAGCAUGGUCUUAGCUUGCUAAGGCCGAUGGCGACCGGCGCACGGGUGAGUAACGCGUAUCCAACCUGCCGUCUACUCUUGGACAGCCUUCUGAAAGGAAGAUUAAUACAAGAUGGCAUCAUGAGUCCACAUGUUCACAUGAUUAAAGGUAUUCCGGUAGACGAUGGGGAUGCGUUCCAUUAGAUAGUAGGCGGGGUAACGGCCCACCUAGUCUUCGAUGGAUAGGGGUUCUGAGAGGAAGGUCCCCCACAUUGGAACUGAGACACGGUCCAAACUCCUACGGGAGGCAGCAGUGAGGAAUAUUGGUCAAUGGGCGAGAGCCUGAACCAGCCAAGUAGCGUGGAGGAUGACUGCCCUAUGGGUUGUAAACUUCUUUUAUAAAGGAAUAAAGUCGGGUAUGGAUACCCGUUUGCAUGUACUUUAUGAAUAAGGAUCGGCUAACUCCGUGCCAGCAGCCGCGGUAAUACGGAGGAUCCGAGCGUUAUCCGGAUUUAUUGGGUUUAAAGGGGGUGUAGAUGGAUGUUUAAGUCAGUUGUGAAAGUUUGCGGCUCAACCGUAAAAUUGCAGUUGAUACUGGAUAUCUUGAGUGCAGUUGAGGCAGGCGGAAUUCGUGGUGUAGCGGUGAAAUGCUUAGAUAUCACGAAGAACUCCGAUUGCGAAGGCAGCCUGCUAAGCUGCAACUGACAUUGAGGCUCGAAAGUGUGGGUAUCAAACAGGAUUAGAUACCCUGGUAGUCCACACGGUAAACGAUGAAUACUCGCUGUUUGCGAUAUACGGCAAGCGGCCAAGCGAAAGCGUUAAGUAUUCCACCUGGGGAGUACGCCGGCAACGGUGAAACUCAAAGGAAUUGACGGGGGCCCGCACAAGCGGAGGAACAUGUGGUUUAAUUCGAUGAUACGCGAGGAACCUUACCCGGGCUUAAAUUGCAGAUGAAUUACGGUGAAAGCCGUAAGCCGCAAGGCAUCUGUGAAGGUGCUGCAUGGUUGUCGUCAGCUCGUGCCGUGAGGUGUCGGCUUAAGUGCCAUAACGAGCGCAACCCUUGUUGUCAGUUACUAACAGGUUCUGCUGAGGACUCUGACAAGACUGCCAUCGUAAGAUGUGAGGAAGGUGGGGAUGACGUCAAAUCAGCACGGCCCUUACGUCCGGGGCUACACACGUGUUACAAUGGGGGGUACAGAGGGCCGCUACCACGCGAGUGGAUGCCAAUCCCAAAAACCUCUCUCAGUUCGGACUGGAGUCUGCAACCCGACUCCACGAAGCUGGAUUCGCUAGUAAUCGCGCAUCAGCCACGGCGCGGCGAAUACGUUCCCGGGCCUUGUACACACCGCCCGUCAAGCCAUGGGAGCCGGGGGUAC
RNAcentral lists this ribosomal RNA (1399 nucleotides) under uncultured organism. RNAcentral's name for it is "16S ribosomal RNA". It matches the Rfam family "Bacterial small subunit ribosomal RNA". The record is from RNAcentral.